GUCCCUUUUCAUUGUUGCCUAUGCAGCCAACCAGCCAAGAAUAAUUAAAUAGAUGAUGGGCACUAUUCUUUGAAAAUUAAAAAAAAAAAUCAGAAGAAAUGGAAAAAAUGAUAACAAAUAUCUAUUCAAUAUCAUUAAGUGCAGCAAAAGCAUGAAACCAUAGUGAAUUAAAAGAUUUCAUAUAGAUUUGAGNNNNNNCCAGCAUGAAUAAAGAAGCCAACAAUCCGGGAGAACUCCUUCCCAACCCUGAGUGUCAAAU
Molecule: unclassified non-coding RNA, 259 nt
Filed under: Hevea brasiliensis (rubber tree)
Lineage: Eukaryota; Viridiplantae; Streptophyta; Magnoliopsida; Malpighiales; Euphorbiaceae
Source: RNAcentral